Molecule: long non-coding RNA, 817 nt
Organism: Neogale vison (American mink)
Lineage: Eukaryota; Metazoa; Chordata; Mammalia; Carnivora; Mustelidae
Exons: 3
Source: RefSeq, a predicted model, not a curated record
GUGCUUCUGCGGACUCUCCAGAUGAACACCGACUUUGGAAAAAACCGACAAGCCGAGCAGCUAAGGUUCAAAUUUGCUGGCUAACUGAAAGCAUCCGGUUUAACCUACGCCCUUAGGUGCCCCACCUGUAAAAUGGGAAUGAUAUCAAUGCCUCCCUGGCUGGUAGGUGGCCAGGAUUAAAUCUAGAAAGUGAAUCUGCUAGCAGCUCAGCGUUAGCCGCCCCUCUUGCGGGUGCUGUAUUGGCUGCGGAGUGCUUCUGCCUUUCCAAGCACCACUCCGAAGACGGAGACGCCAAGCCGCGCGCGUCACAUGCGUUAACUCCUGGAAUCCUCCCCACCUCCCCCGGAGGCCCCUCCCCCACCAUUCCAGGGGCCUUUGAACUUACUCAGCUCUGACAGGAAACGGACCCCCCACAGCAGAGAGAUCGGAAGGAGCAGGCCCUCCCUGCCUGCUUCCCGCAGAGCCAGAGGAAGCAGGAGCAACACUGAUGAGUGGAGGAAGUCCCGGAUGAACUGCAUUUCCCCGUCCCUGUGCCUCUGGGUGGGGCCACAGGACUGGCUCUUGCCAAUGGAUUGGGAGUAGAAAUGAUCUACGGUUCGAGGCAGCGUGGCCUUCACCGUGCUCUCUAUCUUUAAGCUGCCAGUUAGCUGAGGACAGGGCCACCCUGAAGCCAGGUGUCAAAGAUGAUGGAAGCACAUGAGGAGUGGUCUCUGCAUGACCUCACAGAGCGGAACCGAGGGAGUACCCCUGGCCUCUGACCAUCAGCGGUGGAGCAAGAUCAACACAAGAAAUAACUUUUUGAGGGCGCCUGGGUGGC